GAUGAACGCUGGCGGCGUGCCUAAUACAUGCAAGUCGAGCGAACGGACGAGAAGCUUGCUUCUCUGAUGUUAGCGGCGGACGGGUGAGUAACACGUGGAUAACCUACCUAUAAGACUGGGAUAACGUCGGGAAACCGGAGCCAAUACCGGAUAAUAUUUUGAACCGCAUGGUUCAAAAGUGAAAGACGGUCUUGCUGUCACUUAUAGAUGUAUCCGCGCUGCAUUAGCUAGUUGGUAAGGUAACGGCUUACCAAGGCAACGAUGCAUAGCCGACCUGAGAGGGUGAUCGGCCACACUGGAACUGAGAGACGGUCCAGACUCCUACGGGAGGCAGCAGUAGGGACUCUUCCGCAAUGGGCGAAAGCCUGACGGAGCAACGCCGCGUGAGUGAUGAAGGUCUUCGGAUCGUAAAACUCUGUUAUUAGGGAAGACCAUAUGUGUAAGUAACUGUGCACAUCUUGACGGUACCUAAUCAGAAAGCCACGGCUAACUACGUG
RNAcentral lists this ribosomal RNA (497 nucleotides) under uncultured bacterium. RNAcentral's name for it is "partial 16S ribosomal RNA". It matches the Rfam family "Bacterial small subunit ribosomal RNA", at positions 28 to 507 of the family's 1533-position model. The record is from RNAcentral.